This is a long non-coding RNA of Tachysurus vachellii, 388 nucleotides long. RefSeq lists it as uncharacterized. The record is from RefSeq and is a predicted model, not a curated record. Lineage: Eukaryota; Metazoa; Chordata; Actinopteri; Siluriformes; Bagridae. The transcript has 3 exons.
ACCGUUAAACGGUAAAAACGUCUGGAAAAAGCAAACAGUUCGAAGAGACAUUUAGCAUUAAAUAAAUACUUAAAAAUACUUAAUUUAUAGAAAUAAAACAGGAAUACGUGAAGAUAAUUAUUUCAGUUCUUCGUUUGGUUCAAUGACGGCGUUCAAUCUGUGAGAACCAUCUCCGGUCACCUAGACUCUUGACCACACUCUCGAGGUUUGGAGGCCGAUCGAAGAUUCAAGAAUUCAACUGUGCCGGGGUUUAAAUUAGAUUAGAUCAUCGGGUUUAAUCUCAACCGGAUUAACCGUUGAUGUUCACAGACGUAUUCACAGAUCCGACGAACCGAAAACUCCGAACCCUCAACAGCACGAGUGAAGGUAAAAUUCUAAUCUAUUAUUA